Molecule: unclassified non-coding RNA, 295 nt
Filed under: uncultured Hyaloscyphaceae
Lineage: Eukaryota; Fungi; Ascomycota; Leotiomycetes; Helotiales
Description: sequence contains ITS1
Rfam family: 5.8S ribosomal RNA (bases 1-105)
Source: RNAcentral
GAAAUGCGAUAAGUAAUGGGAAUUGCAGAAUUCAGUGAAUCAUCGAAUCUUUGAACGCACAUUGCGCCCCUUGGUAUUCCGGGGGGCAUGCCUGUUCGAGCGUCAUUACAACCCUCAAGCUUUGCUUGGUCUUGGGCCCUGCCAGUAAUGGCUGGCCUUAAAAUCAGUGGCGGUGCCAUCGAGCUCUACGCGUAGUAAUUGAACCCUCGCUUGUGAGUCUUGGUGGAUGCUUGCCAGCAACCCCUAAUUUUCUAUGGUUGACCUCGGAUCAGGUAGGGAUACCCGCUGAACUUAA